This 91-nucleotide non-coding RNA is filed under the name Bathycoccus prasinos. Lineage: Eukaryota; Viridiplantae; Chlorophyta; Mamiellophyceae; Mamiellales; Bathycoccaceae. The record is from RNAcentral.
AAUAUUCACGCCUACGUCGAAAAAGCAAACUGGCGAGAGUUGCACUCAAAUUUAGGUCGCGUGAUUAGUUUCUUCGUCUACCACAAGGACA